GCUAGAGCCAUGUUUGCUUAAAGGAGCACAUUCAUUUUGAAUAAUCUUCAAGAUCUCCUGGCUUUUUCUUUCUGCUGGUCUUCUCAGGUCACCACCACAUAUGCACACAGGCUCCCAGAAUCUGGCAUUUACGUGAGACCUGACCCUGCUGCGGAGAGUGAGCAUCUCACCGCCAAACCUCUCUGCACUGUGGAAUAGCUUCAAAACCCAUCAUUAGUACAGUUCACUGAAGAGCCCAGGACAAGCAGGUGCUAUUGAUUCUUCAGCCACAACAGCCCUAAAUUGGGACAUGUCAAGGGGUCUCCAGAGAAACAAAACUGAAGAGGCUUAUUAUAAGAAAUUGGCUCAGGCAAUUAUGGAAGUGGUCAAGUCCCAAUUAUGGAAGUGGUCAAGUCCAAGGGUGAAUCGACAAUCUACAGACCCAAGGAGUUGAUAUGCGAGAAAGAACCCAUGUGUUGCUAGGUAUUUUUCUUAAGUGCCCAUAUCCUGGUUAUCUACCAUAACCAUUUGACAGAAGAGGUCACUGAAUCCAGUGGAGACACUGA
Sciurus carolinensis (gray squirrel) is the source of this 545-nucleotide long non-coding RNA. RefSeq lists it as uncharacterized. NCBI's taxonomy places the organism in Eukaryota, Metazoa, Chordata, Mammalia, Rodentia, Sciuridae. The record is from RefSeq and is a predicted model, not a curated record. The transcript is spliced from 4 exons.